Molecule: ribosomal RNA, 459 nt
Filed under: uncultured bacterium
Lineage: Bacteria
Description: partial 16S ribosomal RNA
Rfam family: Bacterial small subunit ribosomal RNA
Source: RNAcentral
CUACGGGUGGCAGCAGUGAGGAAUAUUGGUCAAUGGGCGCGAGCCUGAACCAGCCAUCCCGCGUGCAGGAUGACGGCCCUAUGGGUUGUAAACUGCUUUUCUAUGCCAAGAAACCUGAUUACGUGUAAUCAGUUGUCGGUAGCAUAGGAAUAAGCAUCGGCUAACUCCGUGCCAGCAGCCGCGGUAAUACGGAGGAUGCAAGCGUUAUCCGGAUUCAUUGGGUUUAAAGGGUGCGCAGGUGGGCUUGUAAGUCAGUGGUGAAAUGCUGACGCUUAACGGUAGAACUGCCAUUGAUACUGCGAGUCUUGAGUAUGGUUGAGGUAGGCGGAAUGUGUUGUGUAGCGGUGAAAUGCAUAGAUAUGACACAGAACGCCAAUUGCGAAGGCAGCUUACUAAGCCAUUACUGACGCUGAGGCACGAAAGCGUGGGGAGCGAACAGGAUUAGAUACCCUCGUAGUC